AUGACUAUUUAUACACAUUGUAAAUAUCGUUGGGUCAUGCUACCUAAUUUACAUAUUAUUAUUAGUGCAAUGAUGCACACUCUUGAGUUUAUCUAUGUGUUUCUUGUUCUGGAUCUUUUAUUUAGUCAUCAGGUUUGCCCACCUAUGAUUAUGGCUUCUUGCCAAUGGUUGUGGGCUUCAUCUUCCAAGGAUCCUACUUGGCCAAUAUUUGCAGCAUUGGAAAAUUCCUUGCCUUUUUCUUGCACCUGGUGUGUUCAAGUCAUGCCACACUUCUUAAAUAUAUUUCUACAAUGCAAGUUUACUGAAAAUCGUCAUUCUCAUGUUUGCUUCCUAUUGUAA
This 339-nucleotide ribosomal RNA is filed under the name Triticum aestivum (bread wheat). RNAcentral describes it as "partial small subunit ribosomal RNA". Lineage: Eukaryota; Viridiplantae; Streptophyta; Magnoliopsida; Poales; Poaceae. The record is from RNAcentral.